This 125-nucleotide transfer RNA is filed under the name Gomphillus americanus. RNAcentral describes it as "tRNA-Leu". The record is from RNAcentral. Lineage: Eukaryota; Fungi; Ascomycota; Lecanoromycetes; Ostropales; Graphidaceae.
ACGUGUGUAGUGUAGCGGUUAUCAUCCUUGCGUAAGUUCUAUUCCCUAAUAGGGUAUCUCAUCUAACUCUCAUAGCUUCCAUUCAUAGUUAGCAAGGGACCCGGAUUCGACUCCCGGCGCACGUA